GGUUAAGCGACUAAGCGUACACGGUGGAUGCCCUGGCAGUCAGAGGCGAUGAAGGACGUGCUAAUCUGCGAUAAGCGUCGGUAAGGUGAUAUGAACCGUUAUAACCGGCGAUUUCCGAAUGGGGAAACCCAGUGUGAUUCGUCACACUAUCAUUAACUGAAUCCAUAGGUUAAUGAGGCGAACCGGGGGAACUGAAACAUCUAAGUACCCCGAGGAAAAGAAAUCAACCGAGAUUCCCCCAGUAGCGGCGAGCGAACGGGGAGCAGCCCAGAGCCUGAAUCAGUGUGUGUGUUAGUGGAAGCGUCUGGAAAGGCGCGCGAUACAGGGUGACAGCCCCGUACACAAAAAUGCACAUGCUGUGAGCUCGAUGAGUAGGGCGGGACACGUGGUAUCCUGUCUGAAUAUGGGGGGACCAUCCUCCAAGGCUAAAUACUCCUGACUGACCGAUAGUGAACCAGUACCGUGAGGGAAAGGCGAAAAGAACCCCGGCGAGGGGAGUGAAAAAGAACCUGAAACCGUGUACGUACAAGCAGUGGGAGCCUCUUUAUGGGGUGACUGCGUACCUUUUGUAUAAUGGGUCAGCGACUUAUAUUCUGUAGCAAGGUUAACCGAAUAGGGGAGCCGAAGGGAAACCGAGUCUUAACUGGGCGUUAAGUUGCAGGGUAUAGACCCGAAACCCGGUGAUCUAGCCAUGGGCAGGUUGAAGGUUGGGUAACACUAACUGGAGGACCGAACCGACUAAUGUUGAAAAAUUAGCGGAUGACUUGUGGCUGGGGGUGAAAGGCCAAUCAAACCGGGAGAUAGCUGGUUCUCCCCGAAAGCUAUUUAGGUAGCGCCUCGUGAAUUCAUCUCCGGGGGUAGAGCACUGUUUCGGCAAGGGGGUCAUCCCGACUUACCAACCCGAUGCAAACUGCGAAUACCGGAGAAUGUUAUCACGGGAGACACACGGCGGGUGCUAACGUCCGUCGUGAAGAGGGAAACAACCCAGACCGCCAGCUAAGGUCCCAAAGUCAUGGUUAAGUGGGAAACGAUGUGGGAAGGCCCAGACAGCCAGGAUGUUGGCUUAGAAGCAGCCAUCAUUUAAAGAAAGCGUAAUAGCUCACUGGUCGAGUCGGCCUGCGCGGAAGAUGUAACGGGGCUAAACCAUGCACCGAAGCUGCGGCAGCGACGCUUAUGCGUUGUUGGGUAGGGGAGCGUUCUGUAAGCCUGCGAAGGUGUACUGUGAGGUAUGCUGGAGGUAUCAGAAGUGCGAAUGCUGACAUAAGUAACGAUAAAGCGGGUGAAAAGCCCGCUCGCCGGAAGACCAAGGGUUCCUGUCCAACGUUAAUCGGGGCAGGGUGAGUCGACCCCUAAGGCGAGGCCGAAAGGCGUAGUCGAUGGGAAACAGGUUAAUAUUCCUGUACUUGGUGUUACUGCGAAGGGGGGACGGAGAAGGCUAUGUUGGCCGGGCGACGGUUGUCCCGGUUUAAGCGUGUAGGCUGGUUUUCCAGGCAAAUCCGGAAAAUCAAGGCUGAGGCGUGAUGACGAGGCACUACGGUGCUGAAGCAACAAAUGCCCUGCUUCCAGGAAAAGCCUCUAAGCAUCAGGUAACAUCAAAUCGUACCCCAAACCGACACAGGUGGUCAGGUAGAGAAUACCAAGGCGCUUGAGAGAACUCGGGUGAAGGAACUAGGCAAAAUGGUGCCGUAACUUCGGGAGAAGGCACGCUGAUACGUAGGUGAAGUCCCUUGCGGAUGGAGCUGAAAUCAGUCGAAGAUACCAGCUGGCUGCAACUGUUUAUUAAAAACACAGCACUGUGCAAACACGAAAGUGGACGUAUACGGUGUGACGCCUGCCCGGUGCCGGAAGGUUAAUUGAUGGGGUUAGCGGUAACGCGAAGCUCUUGAUCGAAGCCCCGGUAAACGGCGGCCGUAACUAUAACGGUCCUAAGGUAGCGAAAUUCCUUGUCGGGUAAGUUCCGACCUGCACGAAUGGCGUAAUGAUGGCCAGGCUGUCUCCACCCGAGACUCAGUGAAAUUGAACUCGCUGUGAAGAUGCAGUGUACCCGCGGCAAGACGGAAAGACCCCGUGAACCUUUACUAUAGCUUGACACUGAACAUUGAGCCUUGAUGUGUAGGAUAGGUGGGAGGCUUUGAAGUGUGGACGCCAGUCUGCAUGGAGCCGACCUUGAAAUACCACCCUUUAAUGUUUGAUGUUCUAACGUUGGCCCCUAAUCGGGGUUGCGGACAGUGUCUGGUGGGUAGUUUGACUGGGGCGGUCUCCUCCUAAAGAGUAACGGAGGAGCACGAAGGUUGGCUAAUCCUGGUCGGACAUCAGGAGGUUAGUGCAAUGGCAUAAGCCAGCUUGACUGCGAGCGUGACGGCGCGAGCAGGUGCGAAAGCAGGUCAUAGUGAUCCGGUGGUUCUGAAUGGAAGGGCCAUCGCUCAACGGAUAAAAGGUACUCCGGGGAUAACAGGCUGAUACCGCCCAAGAGUUCAUAUCGACGGCGGUGUUUGGCACCUCGAUGUCGGCUCAUCACAUCCUGGGGCUGAAGUAGGUCCCAAGGGUAUGGCUGUUCGCCAUUUAAAGUGGUACGCGAGCUGGGUUUAGAACGUCGUGAGACAGUUCGGUCCCUAUCUGCCGUGGGCGCUGGAGAACUGAGGGGGGCUGCUCCUAGUACGAGAGGACCGGAGUGGACGCAUCACUGGUGUUCGGGUUGUCAUGCCAAUGGCACUGCCCGGUAGCUAAAUGCGGAAGAGAUAAGUGCUGAAAGCAUCUAAGCACGAAACUUGCCCCGAGAUGAGUUCUCCCUGACUCCCUGAGAGUCCUGAAGGAACGUUGAAGACGACGACGUUGAUAGGCCGGGUGUGUAAGCGCAGCGAUGCGUUGAGCUAACCGGUACUAAUGAACCGUGAGGCUUAACCUU
This 2905-nucleotide ribosomal RNA is filed under the name Escherichia coli. RNAcentral describes it as "23S ribosomal RNA". It matches the Rfam family "Bacterial large subunit ribosomal RNA". Lineage: Bacteria; Pseudomonadati; Pseudomonadota; Gammaproteobacteria; Enterobacterales; Enterobacteriaceae. The record is from RNAcentral.